GGGUCGGUUCCAGAGUGGUUAAAUGGGACGGACUGUAAAUCCGUUAGCUUCGCUUUCGCUGGUUCGAAUCCAGCCCGGCCCACCA
Molecule: transfer RNA, 85 nt
Filed under: Candidatus Altimarinota bacterium
Lineage: Bacteria; Candidatus Altimarinota
Description: tRNA-Tyr
Rfam family: tRNA
About the family: Transfer RNA (tRNA) molecules are approximately 80 nucleotides in length. Their secondary structure includes four short double-helical elements and three loops (D, anti-codon, and T loops).
Source: RNAcentral